GACGAACGCUGGCGACGUGCUCAACACAUGCAAGUCGAACGGAAAGGCCCUGCUUGCAGGGUACUCGAGUGGCGAACGGGUGAGUAACACGUGGGUGAUCUGCCCUGCACUUCGGGAUAAGCCUGGGCAACUGGGUCUAAUACCGGAUAGGAGCCAUUUUUAGUGUGAUGGUUGGAAAGUUUUUUCGGUGUAGGAUGAGCUCGCGGCCUAUCAGCUUGUUGGUGGGGUAAUGGCCUACCAAGGCGGCGACGGGUAGCCGGCCUGAGAGGGUGGACGGGCACAUUGGGACUGAGAGACGGCGCAGACUCCUACGGGAGGCAGCAGUGGGGAAUAUUGCACAAUGAGGGCAAGCCUGAUGCAGCGGCGCCGCGUGGGGGAUGACGGGCUUCGGGUUGUAAACACCUUUCGCUAGGGACGAAGCUAUUUGUGACGGUACCUAGAGAAGAAGCACCGGCUAACUACGUG
Molecule: ribosomal RNA, 465 nt
Filed under: uncultured bacterium
Lineage: Bacteria
Description: partial 16S ribosomal RNA
Rfam family: Bacterial small subunit ribosomal RNA
Source: RNAcentral